This 234-nucleotide long non-coding RNA is filed under the name Capsicum annuum. RNAcentral's name for it is "long non-coding RNA (CANN_LNC006897)". The record is from RNAcentral. Lineage: Eukaryota; Viridiplantae; Streptophyta; Magnoliopsida; Solanales; Solanaceae.
UCAAGGAAAGAGGAGUGCAACAAAAGACCAUCAUAUAUAUCAACAAGCCAAGGUUGUUCACAUUUGAAAUACAUCCACGGGUCCUUUGUGUGUGACAUGAAAAGCUUAGCAUGAAUGGAACAAAGGAGGUGAUUUUGGAAAAUAUCAAGAGAUAAGGAAACUACAUUGGUCUUAAUGGCUUCACUAUACCCAAAAGGUAAGACUACCUUUGGCUUAGGAACCAUAAGAUACAUU